GAGUUUGAUCAUGGCUCAGAUUGAACGCUGGCGGCAUGCCUUACACAUGCAAGUCGAACGGCAGCAUUGAUCUAGCUUUGCUACGAUUGAGUGGCGAGUGGCGAACGGGUGAGUAAUACAUCGGAACGUGCCCUGUAGUGGGGAUAACUAGUCGAAGAUUAGCUAAUACCGCAUACGACCUGAGGGUGAAAGUGGGGGACCGCAAGGCCUCAUGCUAUAGGAGCGGCCGAUGUCUGAUUAGCUAGUUGGUGGGGUAAAGGCCCACCUAAGGCGACGAUCAGUAGCUGGGUCUGAGAGGACGAUCAGCCACACUGGGACUGAGACACGGCCCAGACUCCUACGGGAGGCAGCAGUGGGGAAUUUUGGACAAUGGGCGAAAAGCCUGAUCCAGCAAUGCCGCGUGUGUGAAGAA
RNAcentral lists this ribosomal RNA (412 nucleotides) under uncultured microorganism. RNAcentral's name for it is "bacterial SSU rRNA". It matches the Rfam family "Bacterial small subunit ribosomal RNA", at positions 9 to 412 of the family's 1533-position model. The record is from RNAcentral.